GGGUUGUGAGGUUAAGCGACUAAGCGUACACGGUGGAUGCCCUGGCAGUCAGAGGCGAUGAAGGGCGUACUAAUCUGCGAUAAGCGCCGGUAAGGUGAUAUGAACCGUUAUAACCGGCGAUACCCGAAUGGGGAAACCCAGUGUGAUUCGUCACACUAUCAUUAACUGAAUCCAUAGGUUAAUGAGGCGAACCGGGGGAACUGAAACAUCUAAGUACCCCGAGGAAAAGAAAUCAACCGAGAUUCCCCCAGUAGCGGCGAGCGAACGGGGAGGAGCCCAGAGCCUGAAUCAGCAUGUGUGUUAGUGGAAGCGUCUGGAAAGGCGCGCGAUACAGGGUGACAGCCCCGUACACAAAAGCGCAUGUGCUGUGAGCUCGAUGAGUAGGGCGGGACACGUGGUAUCCUGUCUGAAUAUGGGGGGACCAUCCUCCAAGGCUAAAUACUCCUGACUGACCGAUAGUGAACCAGUACCGUGAGGGAAAGGCGAAAAGAACCCCGGCGAGGGGAGUGAAAAAGAACCUGAAACCGUGUACGUACAAGCAGUGGGAGCACAGGUUUACCUGUGUGACUGCGUACCUUUUGUAUAAUGGGUCAGCGACUUAUAUUCUGUAGCAAGGUUAACCGAAUAGGGGAGCCGGAGGGAAACCGAGUCUUAAUUGGGCGUUAAGUUGCAGGGUAUAGACCCGAAACCCGGUGAUCUAGCCAUGGGCAGGUUGAAGGUUGGGUAACACUAACUGGAGGACCGAACCGACUAAUGUUGAAAAAUUAGCGGAUGACCUGUGGCUGGGGGUGAAAGGCCAAUCAAACCGGGAGAUAGCUGGUUCUCCCCGAAAGCUAUUUAGGUAGCGCCUCGUGAAUUCAUCUCCGGGGGUAGAGCACUGUUUCGGCUAGGGGGCCAUCCCGGCUUACCAACCCGAUGCAAACUGCGAAUACCGGAGAAUGUUAUCACGGGAGACACACGGCGGGUGCUAACGUCCGUCGUGAAGAGGGAAACAACCCAGACCGCCAGCUAAGGUCCCAAAGUCAUGGUUAAGUGGGAAACGAUGUGGGAAGGCCCAGACAGCCAGGAUGUUGGCUUAGAAGCAGCCAUCAUUUAAAGAAAGCGUAAUAGCUCACUGGUCGAGUCGGCCUGCGCGGAAGAUGUAACGGGGCUAAACCAUGCACCGAAGCUGCGGCAG
Molecule: ribosomal RNA, 1177 nt
Filed under: Salmonella enterica subsp. enterica serovar Enteritidis
Lineage: Bacteria; Pseudomonadati; Pseudomonadota; Gammaproteobacteria; Enterobacterales; Enterobacteriaceae
Description: partial 23S ribosomal RNA
Rfam family: Bacterial large subunit ribosomal RNA
Source: RNAcentral